ACAAGGAGCUGCAGAAACGCGCUUGGAGUUGCGAGCCGCGGGCAGGGGAUCACGAGACGGAAGCGUGGGUGUAGAGCAGGCGCCCACAAGCAGGAAGGACUAUGACGUGCGCAGAGCAAUGCUGGUCUAGUGGGAGGGUCACCCUGACGCCUCUAAGCCGGCCCCACUCAGAGGCCUGGUCCUCAGGCCCGGUUCCGACCUCACAGCAGGCGUCAAAAUCGGCCCCGCGAACUGCAAGAGAAACCACGCCUAGGUGUUCUUAAGGAUCGAGUGCAGAUGUACGUAGGUGACAGCUUUUUGACAACCCAAAAAGACGCGAUCUUUAAAAAGGAAAGAAAAAAAAAAAAACUGCAUGCAAAUGCUAGAGAUUCUUUGGCUGACAUUCGCAUCCAAACCCCCCACCUCUGGGUAAGACGUGGCCACCCAGCCCUCCGGAUGCCAGCGCCAGCCUUGGGCCCCACAGCACGUCCCGCUUUCCACCCCCAGGCCCUGCUGCUCCUGGCUCUGGCACAGCGGCCUGAGGGGACCAAUCCACUGCUCAGAAACACCCUGGAAUGUCACAGGGAUCUUAAGGGCUCUUUUGUUUCCGAACUCACCCCUGCUG
Panthera uncia (snow leopard) is the source of this 604-nucleotide long non-coding RNA. RefSeq lists it as uncharacterized. The record is from RefSeq and is a predicted model, not a curated record. The transcript has 3 exons. Lineage: Eukaryota; Metazoa; Chordata; Mammalia; Carnivora; Felidae.